GGAUAAUGAAUUUACCAAGGGAGAUUGUAAGAAUUAACUACAGCAAGAUAGAAGAAACAGUAUAAACAAGAGAGGAAAUAUAUCUGAAAAAAAUCAAGUGACAGUUGUAAUUGGCUUCUGAAGGAGAGAGAGACCUCAGCUCAAAUUGAAAGACAGGAAGAGUAGAAGGUUAAUUGGAAAUAGUUAUUUAUAGGUUUGUAUCUCUUCCACCCUCUAGUUUACAAAAGUACAGACUACAUUAUGCUUGUGUAGGCAAGAAUUGUGUAUAAAAAAAAAAGCACAUUCUGGUGAUUUUUCAGAACUAUACUGACAGUACCACCUUUGAAGAAGUGUGUUGUGACCUUCUAGAGCAGGACUGAAAGGCCUGCAAUUGACAGUUUGCCUGAGGGAAGAGAAAGAGCAGCACAAUUAACAGGAUGCUGGUUGUACAUGUGCCACACCAGGUCAGGUCGCUAAAGCCGUUAUUCUCCCCCAUCCCAGUGCGUUCUUUGCACCCCAUAUGAACACAAUAUUUGUCUUUCAUGACAAGGAGGUAGCUAUUUUAGAGAGGCAGUAGAAUGGGAGUACUAAGAAUUUGGGCUUUGGGGUUAGUGUGGAAAGUAACAAUGUCUUUUCUAUCAAAGGAAAUCUUGGUUACUCCAUUUUGAUUCGGGUUUCGGUUUUGGCUGAAAUGCCCCUGUGACCCCCUUCCUCUUUACCUCUUUUCCCAGCAAUAGUUCGUUUCAAUUAGCCAACUAGGAAGAAUGUGCGCCCUGACCUGACCAACGGGAAGGGGACAGGUACAUCACCUGCCUUAGGGAUAAAUAGGGGAGGGUCCUUUGUUUAGCGUGCAUGCUUUUUGGAGUACCUGUGCCCAUCUGCAGAAGUAAAGAGCCUUGUGGAGAUUUCUCCUUGUCCAUGUGUCUCACUUUCUGACACUGACGACCUGAGCCAGAGUUAUCUUAAUUUCCAAUAUUAGGUACCCUGUGUUUGAAUCUCAGCUUCUUACUCAUUAUUUAACCUUUUUUUUUUUUUUUGAUUGAGUUGACAGAUGAGUUUCAGUUUUCUCUUCUGUCAACUAGAAAAAUAAGUACUCCUACCCCAUGGGUUUGGUGGGAGGUUUACAUCCAAUAGUACACAGAAUUACACUUUUUAAAGAAAAUAUUCCCCCAUAUAUGGAAGAGAAAGUGAAUAGCAUUUCAUCGCUUACAAUGUCUAAGGUGUUUUAGGUACAUUAUAAAUAAACUUAUUAUUCUUAGAACUCUUGGAGUUAGUCGGCUUUAUAUCUAUUUUACAGAUGAGGAAACUGAGGAUUAUUAAAGUUUAAAAACUUGCCUAAAUCCAUUCAUUCACUGGGUUAAGCCCCUGAUUCUAUCUGAUUGAAAAUCUACUUCUUUUCCUUACAUGAUGCUUCCAUUUACUCAACUAAUUUUAGGUUGUGGUAAAAAAUAAAUAACCAUGAUUUUUAAAGCUAAUACAAUUUUGAUUUGUAUUUGUUUUGGAAUACAUUACCAUAGGCAUGUCCACUGCUCACUCCUCUAUUUUAAAGUGUUUUUCUACAUUGGCUACAAAUUGAAAAAAUCUGGGUGGAUUAGCAGUAUCAUUGCUUGGGUCCAACCCAAAGAUUAGAGAUUCUAAAUUAAAUCUUCUGUGAGAUUUAGGCAUUGAGAUUUGUAAACUCCCCAGGUUAUUCUAAUAUGUAGUUAAGAUUGAGAAACAUUGUACUAUAGGAAACUACAUUCCCCACAGCAUUUCUGUGCAGCAGUGGUUGUGUUUUGGGUCAUAUAGUCCUGCAAUACUCACUCUUUCCCCCGAAAUUGAGUGGUUAAAUGCCCGUGACAUGCCUUGGUAUUAAAAAAUAAGACAGGUUAAUCAAGUGUCCUCUGUUUUUAAAGUUAAUUGGGAAAUACCAAGGAAUGAAUGUUGUAAGCUAAUAGUUCCAAAACUUAAUUGGACAUUAGAAUCACCUGGAAGCUUCUAACACUUGCAAUGGUUUAUCUUGACUCAUAUACAUCAAAUCAGAAUGUCUAGGGUGGGAGCUAGCACUGGCCAUUUUUAAACAUCCCAGGUAACUACAAAAUGAAUCAAAAUAUGGGGACCAUUGCAAGAAGCGAUGGGAGCUUAAGCCUAACAGUCAUGGUAUAGAGCCACAUUUCUCAAAUUUAAAUGCUGAUUCUGAUACAGCAGGUCUAGAGUUGGGCCCAAAGUUCUGCAGUUCUAACAACCUCCCAGGUGAAACUGAUGAUGCUGGGCCACAGACCACUUUGAGUAGCAGAAAGAGAGUCUCAGAAACCCUGGGGGGAAGGAAGCAUGAACCAGAAGGAGGGAAUGAAGAAUAUGAGAUUAACAAUAACAAAAGAUAGAGAGUAGAAUAUGAGGUGGCUUGUCUAUAGGAAGAGGAGAAUAGAACAAGCUUUUCUUGAGUUAACCUUGAACAGCACUGCGAUCAAGAUCCCUGAGCUCCUGAUACUGGGAUUCCUAGAGGUUGUUUCAAUAUAGAAGAACCUUUAAGUUCCUGCUGUUCCUUAAAAUCUAUUUUGGAAUUUCCGUGUUUCUUCACAUGUGUGUUUUUAUUACUGAACUUUCAUUAACUGAAGCAAGAUGCACCAGACAUUGUGGAUUACUCAACAUGGUUCUCAUUUUCCUCUUUCCAGUUUUGUUCACUUAUUGCAUUUAGUUGACUAUUGCUGUAUAAUAAAUUAUCCUCUAAACUUAGUGGCUUAAAAGAAUAAAUACUUAUAACCUUAUAUUCCCAUGGCCAGCCUAUUUGGGGAGUUCUGGCUCAGGAUGUCUCAGGAGUUUGCAGUCAGGAUAAUAGCAAGGGCUGCAGACCUAUGAUGCCUCAACUGGACCUGGGGGAUCUGCUUCCAAGAGGACUCGCUCACAUGCUAUUGGAGCCUCAGUUCUUUUUUUUUUUUUUUAACUUUCAAAUAUUUUUCCCUUAUAGUUAUGGUAAUCACUGCAUUUCAGUCUUAUUUGAAUGAAUUUUAAACUACAAAAGUGAAACAUUUUUCACAUUUCUGUUCCCUUUUUUUCACAUGGCUGUUCAGCAGGCACUAGUGGCUUAUUGGUUUAUUAUGAACAAAAGUUUUUAGUAGUAUUACAUUUCGUGGCUAUUUAUGGCAAUGGUAAUUAAUCUUUGAAUACUUGAAGAUGUGUCUAAAUGCUUUGAUCUGAUUUUGAACAAAUUCCAAUAUUACUGAUUUUCUUGGAACCAAUAUGUUUAUUGAGAGUUUUAGAAAAGUAGAUACUAAUGUCGUUUAUACUAAUUCACAUAUUCAUCUAUUGGGAAUUGUGAGCCUCAGUUUUUGACCAUGUGGGUUUCUCCUUAGAGUGUCCUUACAGCAUGGCCAUUUGUUUCCUUCAGAGUGAAUGAUUCUAGAGCUUGACCAAGGUGGAAGCUACAGUGAGUUUUAUGACCCAGAAGUCAUACACUGUCACUUCUAUUUUAUUCAGUUUGUUUGAAGUGAGGCACUACGUCCAGCCCAAAGUCAAAGAAGGGAAAUUAUAGAGUCCAGCUUUUGAAAGGAGUGUCACAGAGUUUGUGGACAUAUUUAAAUAACCACAGAUGAUUACUCUUUCACAGAGCCACGCGUUUUAGGGAAAGCUGCUUACAUUGUCAGCAGGUUCUCAAAACGGUUUUCAAAGGGCAGCAAAAUCGCUUUGGGAAUUAAGUAUGCAAAUACAUGGGCCCUACCCUAGAAGAACUGGGUAAGAAGCCCAGGGGGUUAGGCCAGUGAUCUGUGAGUUAACAGGCUCUCCAGGUGAUUGUAACACACACUCAAGCUUGAGAACCAUCACCCUCAGCUGGUCUUUAUAAUUCAAUUACCGUUGUCAGCUUGUGCAAUUAGGCAUGAGUAGGUAUAUAUUGAGGGCUUCUGGGAUUUUUUUUUUUUUUUUUUUUUUCUUUCCUGGGAAGCAGUGGCUGCUGGUUGUACUUCGGUGCGUGGUGUUGAAGUGGCUGCAAACCAGUUUGCUGCCAGUCUGCAGAGGAAGGCAUUUGUUGGAGCAGAAGCACAGAACUUUGGAGAAGUAGAGCUGAGACCUGGAUAUACUUGGCAGAAGCCUGCAUUGCAAACUUGUGACUGGGUGAGAUGAUCAGUUCCACUAUUAUUUAUGCCAGUUUGAAACAAUGUUUUCUGUUAACUUAGUAUUGCCAUCCUGAUUGACCCACUGUCUCUAACUUAAAGUGGUUGGUUCAUUGACUUUUAUCAGUCUUAUCUGCACAUUUGGGUGAUAUGAACAGUUUUGAAAAAUACCACUCUUGGGCUCCCUUUUAGAAAGUCUAAGUAGUCCAGCCUGGAUCCCUGGUCAUGGAAUUUUUAAUAGGUGAUUUUCAAAUGCAGGCAGCAUUAAGAGCCACUGGUAACGACAACAACUGAAAGUCUCUCUGUCCAAGUAUUGAAAACCAUCUUUCUUCUAACACUGCUGAACUAUCCCAGAAUAAGAACUUUGUGAACUAAGGGGUCAGUAUCCUUAUAAGAAGUAGAACAAUGGUGGCUUUUUUUUCUUAUACAGCUGAUACUAAAAUAACACUUGUCAGGUUAACAUGACCAUUUUUCUAAAUUUACGAACUAAUUUCUUCUGGUUAAGUAACUUGUCCUGAACUCUAAUACUUCUAGUUUAUUUUCUCAGUCCCCCAGGGUCUGGGUGGUUAUAGGAACACAUCUAUGAGGAAGCAUUUCAUGUCAGUUCUUGAAGAAAUCAUUUUUAUUGCUUUUAUUUUACUUCCCAUAAAAAGGCAGCUCCAGUAACACUCUAAAAUCACUGAAACAUUUUUUUCUGUGUAAAUUUUGAAUUUUUGUUUUCUUCCCCACUUACUUCCCACCAUCACUUCUCAUUUUGUAAUUAUUAUUCUGUCCUGAAAUAGUCUACCAAGAGAUAUAUCAUAAUUUUCACCAUAACAUUGCUGGACAUUACUGAGCACUGGUGGUGACCUCGGUGUUCAUUGCUUGGGGAAUGGAAAAAGAAAGUAGUGUGGAUGUUUGCCACGUAAGACUUUGCUGCAGUUAGAAGUAAUGGACUCAAUGUACAUUUAAGUCUGAUUAAAAUUUAAAAACGUAACUUUGGGAGUUCCCGUCAUGGCUCAGUGGUUAACCAACCUGACUAGGAUCCAUGAAGACUCAGGUUUGAUCCCUGACCUUUUUCAGUGGGUCAAGGAUCCAGUGUUGCCGUGAGCUGUGGUGUAGGUUGCAGACCUGGCUCAGUUCCUGCAUUGCUGUGGCUGUGAUGUAGACUGGCAGUGUAGCUCUGAUUCGACCCCUAGCCUGGGAACUUCCAUAUGUCAUGGGUGCGGUGCAAAGACAAAAAAAAAAAAAAAAAAAAAAAAGAACUUAAUUUUGAAGAGAAAAACCUAAGUGGGGCUAGGUCCCACAGCCUAAUGCAAGUUUUGGAAGUUAAAGAUACAUUGAUCUCAAAAUAAUACAAAUACAUUGUAUUUAAGAGUUAUGUAUAGUUUUUUACGUCUCCAUGGACGUACAGGUGCAUUCAAAUAAUAUCUACAUAUUUUAGUGUUAAACACAGUAAGCUUCCUGAAAGGGAGGGGAAAGGAGGAAAACUAGUGAUGAAGAGGGAGAAUAAAAAUAGGAAUCUCUCUAGGGGGUAAUGAUGAGAAUAUCUCUUGGACAGAGGAGUAUGAUUACCCAAGCUUUGUAUCCGAGUUUCCUCUCCAACCUUGUAAAAGUCUCUAAAAUCUUGAAACAGGCUGGGGAUUUGAAAACCCGUAAUUGAGUUUGAGAACUGCAAAUUAAAUAGGAAUAAACAAGACAAAGUUUAAGUGUAAGUGCUUUGUUUAAACAAGUCUCAGGGUGACCGUUUAUGCAGGUUAUGUGCUGGACAUCGGGCCAAGCCUGGGGGAAGGAGGAGCUAAAGUGUAGCAGUGCUCCAUGUGCUGUAGGGAAACUUUUUCUAAGUCACCGGAAAACACCAUAGCGACAGUGGAGCCCCCGUUGUGACUUUUAUUUGGGGAGUUUAGUGUUGGUUCCAAAAAAGUAGAAGCUGUUUCCUUUAUACAGGGUGCCAGUGCUUAACAAAUUACUGGGUCACCUGGUUAGUCCUGAAUCAACAUUUGCUGAAAGAACGAAUUGUUAGUGAUUGGCUUACUUUUGGGUGCAGGCUGAAGUUUCUGGAAAUCUCAUUUCUUUAAGUGGAGUAUCAAUCUUGGUGAGUCAGGUUCAAGACUUUCCUCAAAUAUACACAUUCAAAUUAAACAUAGUUUUGGUAUUCUAGAAAAAUGCUUUAAGCAAAACUAUUUUGGUAUGGUAGGCAGUAUGCUCUAGUGGUCAAGGCUCUGGUCCCUGGACAUAGGCAGGGGUGAUCUGAAAGCCUUAGCCCUGGAACACUGUCCCCACUGGCAUCAACAGCAUCCAGGAACUGGCUAGAGUAGUGUUGCUUAGAGUUUUACCCCAGUGUACGGAAUCAGAAACUCUGGAAUGUGUGCUCCUACAACCUGAUUUAAUAAGAUUGCCAGGUGAUUCUGAUACAGCCUAAUAUUUGAGACUCUUACCUUGAAACUAUUAAUCUUGGUACAUUUCAUUCCCUCUACCUUUUCUCUCUUUUGUGACCCAUUUCCUUAGAGACCCAGAAUAAUCGCUGUGUUCUCACUCUAUUUUUCCAUUUACAGAUAAUGGGGAAACAAAAGUCCCCUAUUGGUGUACCAUAUUGAAGUUAGUUUUGAAUUUAAUGGGGCCGUUCAAUUUAUGUCCCAGAGUAGCUCAUUUAUGACCUCAAGACUAAAAGACAUAUUAGAAAUAGGUGAAAUAAAGUUAAUUGCCCUUUCAUUGUAAUCAAUAGUUCUCUCUACUCUCUUAUUCUUGUGUUGUUGCUCAUUGCGUGGUUUUUGAAAGAUGCAAAAAAAAAAAACAAAAAAAAAAA
Molecule: long non-coding RNA, 6852 nt
Filed under: Sus scrofa (pig)
Lineage: Eukaryota; Metazoa; Chordata; Mammalia; Artiodactyla; Suidae
Description: lncRNA (ENSSSCG00035064996.1)
Source: RNAcentral